RNAcentral lists this ribosomal RNA (425 nucleotides) under uncultured bacterium. Its description in RNAcentral is "partial 16S ribosomal RNA". It matches the Rfam family "Bacterial small subunit ribosomal RNA", at positions 354 to 796 of the family's 1533-position model. The record is from RNAcentral.
GUGGGGAAUCUUGCGCAAUGGGCGAAAGCCUGACGCAGCCAUGCCGCGUGAAUGAUGAAGGUCUUAGGAUUGUAAAAUUCUUUCACCGGGGACGAUAAUGACGGUACCCGGAGAAGAAGCCCCGGCUAACUUCGUGCCAGCAGCCGCGGUAAUACGAAGGGGGCUAGCGUUGCUCGGAAUUACUGGGCGUAAAGGGAGCGUAGGCGGAUAGUUCAGUCAGAGGUGAAAGCCCAGGGCUCAACCUUGGAAUUGCCUUUGAUACUGGCUGUCUUGAGUAUGGGAGAGGUUAGCGGAACUCCGAGUGUAGAGGUGAAAUUCGUAGAUAUUCGGAAGAACACCAGUGGCGAAGGCGGCUAACUGGCCCAUUACUGACGCUGAGGCUCGAAAGCGUGGGGAGCAAACAGGAUUAGAAACCCGGGUAGUCC